UCCCGUCUGGCUCAGUUGGUAGAGCAUGGUGUUUGCAACGGCCAGGGUUGUGGGUUUGAUUCCCACGGGGGAC
This 73-nucleotide transfer RNA is filed under the name Salmo salar (Atlantic salmon). It matches the Rfam family "tRNA". Rfam says of the family: Transfer RNA (tRNA) molecules are approximately 80 nucleotides in length. Their secondary structure includes four short double-helical elements and three loops (D, anti-codon, and T loops). Lineage: Eukaryota; Metazoa; Chordata; Actinopteri; Salmoniformes; Salmonidae. The record is from Rfam by way of RNAcentral.